GGAGGUAUAGCUCAAUGGUAGAGCACAUGCUUAGCAUGCACAAGGUCCUGGGUUCAAUUCCCAGUACCUCCA
Molecule: transfer RNA, 72 nt
Filed under: Camelus bactrianus (Bactrian camel)
Lineage: Eukaryota; Metazoa; Chordata; Mammalia; Artiodactyla; Camelidae
Also listed under: 2 other names
Rfam family: tRNA
About the family: Transfer RNA (tRNA) molecules are approximately 80 nucleotides in length. Their secondary structure includes four short double-helical elements and three loops (D, anti-codon, and T loops). Further hydrogen bonds mediate the characteristic L-shaped molecular structure. tRNAs have two regions of fundamental functional importance: the anti-codon, which is responsible for specific mRNA codon recognition, and the 3' end, to which the tRNAs corresponding amino acid is attached (by aminoacyl-tRNA synthetases). tRNAs cope with the degeneracy of the genetic code in two manners: having more than one tRNA (with a specific anti-codon) for a particular amino acid; and 'wobble' base-pairing, i.e. permitting non-standard base-pairing at the 3rd anti-codon position.
Source: Rfam by way of RNAcentral